AGCCCUUGACAUGUCCCGUAUGGAUUCCAGAGACGGAGUCCUUCAGUUCGGCUGGCGGGAACACAGGUGCUGCAUGGCUGUCGUCAGCUCGUGUCGUGAGAUGUUGGGUUAAGUCCCGCAACGAGCGCAACCCUCGCCCUUAGUUGCCAUCAUUUAGUUGGGCACUCUAAGGGGACUGCCGGUGAUAAGCCGGAGGAAGGUGGGGAUGACGUCAAGUCCUCAUGGCCCUUACGGGCUGGGCUA
Molecule: ribosomal RNA, 243 nt
Filed under: uncultured bacterium
Lineage: Bacteria
Description: partial 16S ribosomal RNA
Rfam family: Bacterial small subunit ribosomal RNA
Source: RNAcentral